GAGAUGAUGAUGAAGCAAAUUCUUAAUUCCAACACUUGGACUGAGAAAUUAAAUUUCAAGAGAUGUGAAAAGAUGCUUCUGAGUCUCA
Cynara cardunculus var. scolymus (artichoke) is the source of this 88-nucleotide small nucleolar RNA. RefSeq annotates it as small nucleolar RNA snoR31. NCBI's taxonomy places the organism in Eukaryota, Viridiplantae, Streptophyta, Magnoliopsida, Asterales, Asteraceae. The record is from RefSeq and is a predicted model, not a curated record. The transcript has a single exon.